Molecule: long non-coding RNA, 88 nt
Organism: Etheostoma spectabile (orangethroat darter)
Lineage: Eukaryota; Metazoa; Chordata; Actinopteri; Perciformes; Percidae
Exons: 3
Source: RefSeq, a predicted model, not a curated record
UUUGUAGUGUCGCUGUCCUGUGAGAACCCCGUAUCUCUAAAAGGUUUUAAAACUUUUCAUGGUGUCAGAUAAAAAAAAGAAGAGCCCA